Molecule: ribosomal RNA, 784 nt
Filed under: Naquetia cumingii
Lineage: Eukaryota; Metazoa; Mollusca; Gastropoda; Neogastropoda; Muricidae
Description: partial 16S ribosomal RNA
Rfam family: Bacterial large subunit ribosomal RNA (bases 1-588)
Source: RNAcentral
GGCUCCCUGCUAUAUACUAUAUAGGGAGUCGGACCUGCCCAGUGAAUUUUUUCAACGGCCGCGGUACUCUGACCGUGCAAAGGUAGCAUAAUCAUUUGCCUUAUAACUGAAGGCUAGUAUGAAUGGUUUGACAAGAAUAUAACUGUCUCUUUGUAAUUAAUUAGAACUUUAUCUACAGGUGAAGAAGCCUGUCUAUAAUUGAAAGACAAGAAGACCCUAUCGAGCUUGAAAAAAUCUGAUAAACCUAAUUUUUAAUAAAAUAUUAACAUCAUUUAUCUAAAAUUUUAGUUGGGGCGACUAAGGAACAAAAAAAGCUUCCUUUUAUAAUUCAAGUAAAAACAAACAAGUAAUGAUCCAAAAAUUUUGAUUAAAGGAACUAGUUACCGUAGGGAUAACAGCAUUAUUCCCUUUGAGAGCUCACAUCGAAAAGGGAGUUUGUGACCUCGAUGUUGGACCAGAAUAUCCUAAAGAUGCAGCCGUCUUUAAGGGUUGGUCUGUUCGACCAUUAAAAUUCUACGUGAUCUGAGUUCAGACCGGCGUGAGCCAGGUCAGUUUCUAUCUUCAAUUUCCUUAAAUAAACUUAGUACGAAAGGACCAGAUUAUUACAAACUAAUUGUUAAAAAUAGAUAAUAUAUAACGUAAUCAUAAACACUUAUCAAUAAAAUUUAACCAAUCAAAUUAGCAAAGAUAAUGCAAUUGACUUAGGAUCAAUAGACAUAGGUGAAACUCCUUUAUUUGAUAUCCAUUAAAUAAACCAAAUACACAAUAAAGGUGGCAGAAUAAA